CCUACGGGUGGCAGCAGUGAGGAAUAUUGGUCAAUGGGAGAGAUCCUGAACCAGCCAAGCCGCGUGAGGGAAGACGGCCCUAUGGGUUGUAAACCUCUUUUGUCGGAGAACAAAACCUGGGACGUGUCCCGGACUGCGUGUAUCCGACGAAAAAGCAUCGGCUAACUCCGUGCCAGCAGCCGCGGUAAUACGGGGGAUGCGAGCGUUAUCCGGAUUUAUUGGGUUAAAGGGGUGGGUGGGCGGUCCGUUAGGUCAGCGGGAAAAUUGCGGGGCUAAACCCCGCCGAGCCGUUGAAACUGGCAGACUUGAGUUGGCGAGAGGUACGCGGAAUGCGCGGUGUAGCGGUGAAAUGCAUAGAGAUCGCGCAGAACUCCGAUUGCGAAGGCAGCGUACCGGCGCCAGACUGACGCUGAGGCACGAAAGCGUGGGGAUCGAACAGGAUUAGAUACCCUUGUAGUC
RNAcentral lists this ribosomal RNA (459 nucleotides) under uncultured bacterium. RNAcentral's name for it is "partial 16S ribosomal RNA". It matches the Rfam family "Bacterial small subunit ribosomal RNA", at positions 338 to 795 of the family's 1533-position model. The record is from RNAcentral.